RNAcentral lists this ribosomal RNA (253 nucleotides) under uncultured bacterium. RNAcentral's name for it is "partial 16S ribosomal RNA". It matches the Rfam family "Bacterial small subunit ribosomal RNA", at positions 524 to 776 of the family's 1533-position model. The record is from RNAcentral.
AACGUAGGGGACAAGCGUUAUCCGGAUUUACUGGGCGUAAAGCGCCCGUAGGCGGCCUGACAAGUUGGACGUGAAAGCUCCUGGCUUAACUGGGAGAGGCCGUUCAAAACUGUCAAGCUAGAGUCUGGAAGAGGAGAGCGGAAUUCCCGGUGUAGUGGUGGAAUGCGUAGAGAUCCGGAAGAACACCGGUGGCGAAGGCGGUCUGCUGGGCAGUAGCUGACACUGAUGCGCGACAGCGUGGGGAGCAAACAGG